This 1561-nucleotide ribosomal RNA is filed under the name Bramus fuscocapillus (southern mole vole). RNAcentral's name for it is "16S ribosomal RNA". It matches the Rfam family "Bacterial large subunit ribosomal RNA". Lineage: Eukaryota; Metazoa; Chordata; Mammalia; Rodentia; Cricetidae. The record is from RNAcentral.
ACCAAAACUAGCCCUAGCACAAACUUAACUCAACUAAUUAACCCAAUAAAACAAAACAUUUGACAUAGCUAGUAUCGGAGAAAGAACACCAGACUAGGCGCUAUAGAGAUAGUACCGUAAGGGAAAGGUGAAAGAACAUUUAAAAGUAAGAAAAAGCAAAGAUUAAACCUUGUACCUUUCGCAUAAUGGGUUAACUAGAAAUACCCUAACCAAGAGGCCUUAGCUAGACACCCCGAAACCAAACGAGCUACCUAAGAGCAGUUGAAAGAACGAACCCGUCUAUGUGGCAAAAUAGUGGGAUGACUCCUAGGUAGAGGUGAUACGCCUACCGAGCUUGGUGAUAGCUGGUUGCCCAAUAAAGAAUUUUAGUUCGACUUUAAGAUUGCCAUAGGAAAUUUUAAUCAAAAUGUAAUCUUAAAAUUUAGCCUAAAGGGGGGCAGCUCUUUAGGAAUGGAAACAACCUUUAGUAGUGAAUAAACAUAGUUCCCUAGAACAUUGUCGGCUUGGAAGCAGCCACCAAAUAAAGAAAGCGUUAAAGCUCAAAUUCACAAAAAUCUUAAUUCCACAAAUCCUAAUGACUUCCUACAAACAAUAAUUGGGCCAAUCUAUAAUUAUAUAGAUGGGAUACUGUUAACAUGAGUAACAAGAACAUAGUUCUCCUAGCACAAGCCUAUAACAACCCGGAUAACCAUUGUUAGUUAACAACCAAAGGUGAAUAACCUAUUGAUAGACUACACCUUACUAAAAUUGUUAAUCCGACACAGGAGUGCAUUAAGGAAAGAUUAAAAGAAGUAAAAGGAACUCGGCAAACACGAAUCCCGCCUGUUUACCAAAAACAUCACCUCUAGCAUAAAAAGUAUUAGAGGCACCGCCUGCCCAGUGACAAACGUUUAACGGCCGCGGUAUCCUGACCGUGCGAAGGUAGCAUAAUCACUUGUUCUUUAAUUGAGGACUGGAAUGAAUGGCUUCACGAGGAUUCAACUGUCUCUUACUUCCAAUCAGUGAAAUUGACCUUCCCGUGAAGAGGCGGGAAUACUACAAUAAGACGAGAAGACCCUAUGGAGCUUUAAUUCAACGGCUUAACUUUUUAAAUUGUAACCCUAACAGGCCCAACAAAUAAGCCACUAAGCCAAGAAUUUUGGUUGGGGUGACCUCGGAGCAUAAAAAACCCUCCGAAUGGCUUUAACCGAGACACACAAGUCGAAGUUCUAAAACCUAAUUGACCCAAUUACCUUGAUCAACGGACCAAGUUACCCUAGGGAUAACAGCGCAAUCCUAUUCUAGAGUCCCUAUCGACAAUUAGGGUUUACGACCUCGAUGUUGGAUCAGGACAUCCCAAUGGUGCAGAAGCUAUUAAAGGUUCGUUUGUUCAACGAUUAAUAGUCCUACGUGAUCUGAGUUCAGACCGGAGCAAUCCAGGUCGGUUUCUAUCUAUUAACUAUUUCUCCCAGUACGAAAGGACCAGAGAAAUGGAGCCUCCUUAACAGAAGUGCUCUAAAACUAAUUUAUGAAGUUAUCUUAAUUUAGUAAGUUUGUAAAACAAGACCCUAGACAAGGGCUA